Molecule: long non-coding RNA, 247 nt
Filed under: Brassica napus (rape)
Lineage: Eukaryota; Viridiplantae; Streptophyta; Magnoliopsida; Brassicales; Brassicaceae
Description: long non-coding RNA (BNAP_LNC023346)
Source: RNAcentral
GACUAUCUCGAAACAGUUGGGUCAAUCUCGGGAUAAUACAUCUAUAAGAAGAGAGAGGAAGACAGAGAACGGGACAAGUGAAACCCUAAAGUAUUACACCAAACACACCGACCUCGACCUCAAGCUCCCUUAUUCCUUUCACCUUGUAAUCGAUUUUAGUUUCACUCCAAUUGUAUCUCGAUCUCAUUCAAUCAUUGUAUUCAAUCAUAUUAACUCAAUAAAAUCUAUUUUUCUCAAUCGGGAUCUG